UACGGGGGGGGCAAGCGUUGUUCGGAAUUACUGGGCGUAAAGGGCUUGUAGGUGGCCAACUAAGUCAGACGUGAAAUCCCUCGGCUUAACCUGGGAACUGCAUCCGAUACUGGAUGGCUUGAAUCCGGGAGAGGGAUGCAGAAUUCCAGGUGUAGCGGUGAAAUGCGUAGAUAUCUGGAGGAAUACCGGUGGCGAAGGCGGCAUCCUGGACCGGCAUUGACGCUGAGUGAGCGAAAGCCAGGGGAGCAAACGGG
Molecule: ribosomal RNA, 254 nt
Filed under: uncultured bacterium
Lineage: Bacteria
Description: partial 16S ribosomal RNA
Rfam family: Bacterial small subunit ribosomal RNA
Source: RNAcentral